Molecule: long non-coding RNA, 690 nt
Filed under: Catharus ustulatus (Swainson's thrush)
Lineage: Eukaryota; Metazoa; Chordata; Aves; Passeriformes; Turdidae
Description: lncRNA (ENSCUSG00005014980.1)
Source: RNAcentral
GUUUAUUCAGCAAGGCUGAAUUUAUUAAUGCAGAUUGGCUGUAAUUGUAUGCAGUGGUAAUUAACCAUCACUUUCCUGCAGCUUUGGGGGCACAUGCAAUGACAAACCUGUCAAGGAGGCACAGUGUGGUAGAAGAGCAAAUGCAGCUGUAACAACCUGACCGUUGAUUUGUUCCCUCUGUCCUGCACAGCUGGAGAUGAGCCACCACCUCUGCAGCCUGCACAGAAAACACCUGAGCAGCCCUGGUGUGUAGAGGAGCCCCAGAGCCCGUCCCAUGUCACCUCCCUAACCACGAGUGUCACCCCUGGCAGAAUUCAGAGCUGAAGAUGCUGAGCAGGAGGAGAAACCCCUGAGCCUGCGGCACGGCAGCGUGUGUGCCAGCCCUGCAGCACGGCAGCGUGUGUGCCAGCCCUGCAGCAUGGCCAGGUAAAAUCAGACUAUGCCCAUCUUGGAGGAGCCCUCCUCAGGGUGAGCCAGGACCGAGAUUUGGCUGUGAGGGGAAAACACCAGCUCCAAGCCAAGCUGGAGAACCUAGAGCAGGUCCUAAAGGUGUGUAUAAACCCUGGAUUGCAUUAGUGCUGAUCCCACGUGUGGGAUGAGAACUCCAGGUGCUGGCAGGAUCCCAACCCAGCACAGGGACAUCCAGACACCUUUAUCUGGCACUUUAUAAUUCACUGUGCUCUUAGUCAA